Molecule: ribosomal RNA, 488 nt
Filed under: uncultured bacterium
Lineage: Bacteria
Description: bacterial SSU rRNA
Rfam family: Bacterial small subunit ribosomal RNA
Source: RNAcentral
GAUGAACGCUGGCGGCGUGCCUAAUACAUGCAAGUCGAACGGAGAUAUUGUAGCAAUACGGUAUCUUAGUGGCGAACGGGUGAGUAACGCGUUGGUGACCUGCCCCGAAGAGGGGGAUAACAGUCCGAAAGGAUUGCUAAUACCCCAUGUGGUCCUGGAUUUUAGAACUCCAUGACUAAAGGUGUAAAUCACUUCGGGAGGGGCCUGCGUCCCAUCAGCUAGUUGGUAAGGUAAUGGCUUACCAAGGCGACGACGGGUAGGGGACCUGAGAGGGUGGCCCCCCACAAUGGAACUGAAACACGGUCCAUACACCUACGGGUGGCAGCAGUAGGGAAUAUUAGUUAAUGUGCGAAAGCGCGAACUAGCAACGCCGCGUGUGCGAUGAAGGUCUUCGGAUCGUAAAGCACUUUUCGAGAAGAUGAGGAAGGACAGUACUCUCGGAAUAAGUCUCGGCUAACUACGUGCCAGCAGCCGCGGUAAAGAGUACA